AACCGAUUUAUAUGUUUGGUACAGAGAUAGCUUGCAUCCCGGAAACAUGGGCUACUUUUUGUCCCGGAAAAUAAGAGUUCCCAUGGGAUUUGUAAAAACCCCUAAUAAAUACACUACACAGUCGCGGGCAUCAUCUUUUUAGUAUACAGAGACGGCUUGCAUCCCGGGAGACUACUAGCCUGUAUACUUUUAUCCCGAAAAAUUAAAUAGUUCCCUCAGGAUUUUUAAAAACCAAAAUGCACGCGGAAAGUCUCGGACAUCGUCUAGUUUCUCAUAUUUUGCUUAGGUGGCCUUAUAUAGGCACUUUUAGGUGGGUAUAGAUGCGUAGUAUCAGUUAAAUGCCAUAUUACAACAAGUAUAAUCCAUUAUACAAUCUCAAGAAGGCGCAUCGUUAAUAACUAUAAAAGCACCUUCUAUUAUAUAUAACAUUACUAUCACAAUCAUCUAAUUUCAAAUCAAGAGUACCCAUUAGGAUUUUUGGCUACCAAAUAAUAUCUUUACAAUAUUUUGUAUUAAAUACUUAUUACACUAAACGACUGAUUAAUAUAAACAUCAUAAUUCCAAUAAGCUUCAUCUAUUACCUAUUUUAUUUGCUUUUAUUACAAUUUUACAUUAUUAUUGUAUUAUAUACAUUUUAAGUAUACUAUUGUCACGUUAAUAAAACGAUAUUGUCAAUUAAAUCUAUCAUAUUUUUACAUCUUUAAUGCAAAUCAAAUGCAAAUUAAGUUACUACGAUAAAAUUAAGUAUAAAUAUUUAUUUUAUUUCAUAAGGUUUCGUAAGUCCAUUCAAGUAUAUUUUAACUUUAUAUUAUUUUAAGAUACGUUGACGUAACGAUGGGCGAUUGUUGCAAAAAAAAAAACAAUCGAAUGAAUCGAACAAUUGAACAAUCGAUGUCAACGGUUAUUCGAUUGUUAUCGAAUAAUAACAACAAUCGAAUACUUCGAUUGUUAUUCGAAUGAAUCACCCACCGCUAACUUGACAUCGCAAGAAACAACACUGACUAUAUAAUGUUGUACACUUUGCACAAAUACCAAAGUAACGCGUACCUAUGAGUAGAACUAGUAUAUACAGAGCAGCUUAUCACAAAAUGGCGGCGAA
Maniola jurtina (meadow brown) is the source of this 1099-nucleotide long non-coding RNA. RefSeq lists it as uncharacterized. NCBI's taxonomy places the organism in Eukaryota, Metazoa, Arthropoda, Insecta, Lepidoptera, Nymphalidae. The transcript has 2 exons. The record is from RefSeq and is a predicted model, not a curated record.